Long non-coding RNA from Oncorhynchus tshawytscha (Chinook salmon), 1389 nucleotides. Lineage: Eukaryota; Metazoa; Chordata; Actinopteri; Salmoniformes; Salmonidae. The record is from Ensembl.
GUGAAAAGGGAGAGAGAGAGGCACAGAGCAAGCUGCUGUAGGCUAUAGGGAGCGGAGGCCGUGCAGGGUGUGUGUGAGCCUUGGAACAGCAGAGCAGGCACUGAGAGACAGCAGGCAUAGAGAAAGAGACCGCAAACCCUGUUAACUCGCGCUAGACUAACUUCUUGCUAGUUAUUUAUCAUCCCAUCCGAUUAUAUAGUACCUGUCUUUACUGCAUCGACCUGAGAGAAGUUAGCUAACUAGGCUAAUUCUAAAGUUAGCCUACACAUAAUGACUGUGUUCAGAUCAUAGCCUAAAUAGCAUUCUUUGCAUUAGCAGCUUGUAUGCAUGGAAGCCUGGAGAUGCUAAACAUGUUUAUGUUACUUAACGGUCAAUUACCGUGAAACUGGCAAUUACUCAAUCACAAAAUACAGAGGGUGUAAAUCAGAGAUUACUUGCUAUAUACCAACUUUACCAAGCAAAUGAUAAAUUGUGUCAUCUUAGAAGUAUAUUAAGAAAUGCCUUUGGUUUUUGUAUUUGCAGGCCAUCCGCUAUGACAACCAUGCCUGUACUGCCUGUGUCAGAUGCUGAGGAAUUAGGUGGAGUGUCCACUGGGGAAGCAACUAAAGUUUGCCCAAACAAAGAGAUCUGGCACACGCCUUUUGAAUCAUGAUGUCCGAGAACUUGAACUGUGAAUUCCAGUUAAUUUCCAAUUAAAUUGAGGGCUAUGGGCUGCAGGAAUACCACAAGAACUCCCAGGCAGAACUACUAGCCAGAAAGGAAGCCAUCCAAACCAACCUUAAUCACCUGGACCACCCUGUCCUAGACAGUGAUGUCGCCACAAUGUGUGUGAAAUUUGAAAGGUUUGCCCUAUUUACAGUACAACUGCUUUUCCUCAUCACUCUUUUUGGGGAUGCCGGUUGUCACUUGGGGGACAUUCAGACCAGUUUGUAAACAUUUGUUUAGGUUCCAUAUGAUUUCAAUUACUUUCUGACUACACCGCUUUUGAUUUUAACAAAACAUUUCAUACAUCCUUUCCCAUGGUGGAAGUGGUCAGAAAGUUACUUUUUGGAAAAUAUUCAGGAGAUGGAGGUGCUCAAAGUUGACCCAUUUUGCAUACCCUACCAUAAGAAUAUAAACAGUUGAGUUUGAUGUCAUUUAAAAGCUUACAAACUGUCACGACUUCUGCCGAAGUCGUUGCCUCUCCUUGUUCGGGCGGUGCUCGGCGUUCGACGGCACCGGUCUUCUAGCCAUCAUUGAUCCAUUUUCAUUUUCCAUUGGUUUUGUCUUGUCUUCCCACACACCUGUUUUCAAUCCCAUUCAUUACCUGUUGUGUAUUUAACCCUCUGUUUCCCCUCAUGUCUUUGUCAGAGAUUGUUUAUUGUCAGUGUAGUGUUUUUGUUGUAUAGG